CCUACGGGAGGCAGCAGUGGGGAAUCUUGCGCAAUGGGCGGAAGCCUGACGCAGCGACGCCGCGUGCGGGACGAAGGCCUUCGGGUCGUAAACCGCUUUCAGCAGGGACGAGGCUCUCACGGCGACGGUACCUGCAGAAGAAGCCCCGGCUAACUAGGUGCCAGCAUCCGCGGAAAAAGGUAGGGGGCGAGCGUUAUCCGGAUUCAUUGGGUGUAAAGCGCGGUUGGGCGGGCUGUUAGGUCGGGGGUAAAAUACCGGGGCCCAACCCCGGGCCGCCCCCGAUACCGGCGGGCUUGAGUGUAGUAGGGGAAGGCGGAAUGCACGGUGUAGCGGUGGAAUGCGCAGAGAUUGGGAAGAACACCGGCGGCGAAGGCGGCCUUCUGGGCCACGACUGACGCUGAGGCACGAAAGCUAGGGGAGCGAACAGGAUUAGAUACCCCGGUAGUC
This 447-nucleotide ribosomal RNA is filed under the name uncultured bacterium. Its description in RNAcentral is "partial 16S ribosomal RNA". It matches the Rfam family "Bacterial small subunit ribosomal RNA", at positions 338 to 795 of the family's 1533-position model. The record is from RNAcentral.